Molecule: ribosomal RNA, 547 nt
Filed under: uncultured bacterium
Lineage: Bacteria
Description: bacterial SSU rRNA
Rfam family: Bacterial small subunit ribosomal RNA
Source: RNAcentral
UAGGGAAUCUUCGGCAAUGGACGGAAGUCUGACCGAGCAACGCCGCGUGAGUGAAGAAGGUUUUCGGAUCGUAAAGCUCUGUUGUAAGAGAAGAACGAGUGUGAGAGUGGAAAGUUCACACUGUGACGGUAUCUUACCAGAAAGGGACGGCUAACUACGUGCCAGCAGCCGCGGUAAUACGUAGGUCUCGAGCGUUGUCCGGAUUUAUUGGGCGUAAAGCGAGCGCAGGCGGUUAGAUAAGUCUGAAGUUAAAGGCUGUGGCUUAACCAUAGUAGGCUUUGGAAACUGUUUAACUUGAGUGCAAGAGGGGAGAGUGGAAUUCCAUGUGUAGCGGUGAAAUGCGUAGAUAUAUGGAGGAACACCGGUGGCGAAAGCGGCUCUCUGGCUUGUAACUGACGCUGAGGCUCGAAAGCGUGGGGAGCAAACAGGAUUAGAUACCCUGGUAGUCCACGCUGUAAACGAUGAGUGCUAGUGUUAGACCCUUUCCGGGGUUUAGUGCCGUAGCUAACGCAUUAAGCACUCCGCCUGGGGAGUACGACCGCAAGUG